Ictidomys tridecemlineatus (thirteen-lined ground squirrel) is the source of this 6228-nucleotide non-coding RNA. The record is from RefSeq and is a predicted model, not a curated record. Lineage: Eukaryota; Metazoa; Chordata; Mammalia; Rodentia; Sciuridae.
AACUCAACCACUGAGCCACAUCCCCAGCCCUAUUUCUUAUUUUAUUUAGAGACAGCGUUUCACCGAGUUGCUUAGCACCUCUCUUUUGCUGAGGCUGACUCUAAACUCACAAUCCCCCUGCCUUCACCUCUAAGCAUGUGCCACCGAGCCGGCUAUACUAUGCCUUCUCAAGAUGGCCUUUUUGUUGUUGUUGAACAUUGUGUUUCUGAGACUUAUCCAUAUUGUGAAUGUAGAUUUAGCACAUUAAUUUUAAUUUCUGUAACCAUAUAAUAGGAUCCAUUAAUUUCCAUUUAUGUUCAAGGUUAUUAUGGAUAGGUAAGGAUUUUUUAAAAUUGUUUUCUAAUUGUCUUGCAGAUCCUUUAUUACUUUCUUCCUGUGCAUUUUGUGUGUGUGUGUCUAUAUGUCAUAAGUUUUUGCCUUGUGCUUACCAUGAGGUUAUUAUAUUUAAUAACUUUGACUUUCAGCCUUCAUACUGAAGUUAAAAGUGAUUUACACACCACCACUACAGUAUUAGAGUAAUCCAAUUUGAGUGUGUACUUACUUUCACCAGCGAGUUUCAGAAGUUUUCAUGUUACUUGUUAGCAUUCUUGCCUGUAGCUUCAAAAACUCAUCCCAUUUCUUAUUGAUGGAUAUGUGACUUGCUCCAUGCUAGCUCUUGGCCAGAGGUUGAAUUCAGUUCUUUGCUAAAGGAGCCUCUGCAGAGGGCAUUUUAUAAGAUGCCAACUUGCUUUACCAAAGCCACAAGGAAUAAUACUCACUAACAAGACAGAAGCCAGGAUCUUAAAUAAUCUGUUCAUGCAAUUGUCAGUGUUUGCAAAUUCUAUUGGUUAGAGAGUAGACACAGGUCCAAGUCAUACACAAAAAGUGGGGAUUAUGCAGAAAUACGAAUAACAGGAGGUGGGGUUUAUUACAUACCAUCUUACAUUCUAACCCCCACCCCCCACAGGAAUAACAAUGAAGGAUAGUAGAUACCCCACGGUUACAGAUCUGAAGGCUUUAGCAAGUCUAGAGAUUUACUUCUCUUUCAUUUAAAAAUCUGAAUAGGCAGUGUAAGUUGGUAUGACAGCUCCUUAAUCAUCAGGGGCCCAUGCUCCUUCUAUCUCAUCGACCUGCCAUUCCCAACACGUGGCUUCUCAUUGUGCAAGAUAGCUGCCAUAGCGCUUGCUGCAUUCCAAUGCCUCAGGUCCAACCCACAUACUGUGGGCAGAAUAAUUGUACUAAAGCACAAAUAUGAUUAUCUCUCUUCUCUGGUCAAAACCUAUCAGUGGCAGUUCGAGUCUACAAAAGAGUAUCCCAAACCAUUUGUACCAUUAACCCCUAUGCUCAAAUGUACAUACAGACAUAUGUACAUUUAUUAAUUUUUUAUUUAUACACACCCACACUCAACCAUACGUCUAUAAAGGAAACAUAAGCCCUACAAACUAGCAUUUAUCCUUGUUGCAGAUCUUGUGCUCUGAUAGUGUCUAUUCCAUUUCAUUCACAUUUAAUUCAUGAACUAGUUGGAUGUGAGAAGGCACAGCCUACAAGUGACUUGGCCCUGCCCACUCUUCCUUGCUGUCUGCAGACUGCCCUCCUCACACUCCCUGACGUUGGUGCCCACACACCUCCUCUCCUGACCACCGCAGCUUCCCCCACUCUGCCUUUCACCUUCCCAGCUCCUCUGUGCCCUGCAAGAAUCAGCCCAGGUGAGAAACCUCAGACAUCCCUCAGACACUGCUCUCCCAACCCUGGUCUGCUCUCCAACAGCGAAGCCCGGUGUGCAGCAAAAGAAGAGCUGUUCAAGUGAGUUUUGAUCAAGUACCCCACAUGACUAAUCCAGGCCCUCCAAAAUAGCACCAUGGAGCCAAAGUGAGGUAAUGCGGCAGGUUAUGGGAGGAUAGUUAAGGACAUGUCCUGCAGCUGCUUCAGAUGCCAGGGUGAGCCAGAACGUUCAGGAAUGCAGCAGAGGAGAGCAGAGUGAAUCCCCAAACAGACUCAGUGUCUCACCUUCAGAUACUACUUUGACCCCAGGAAGCCCAGUGUGCUGAGGGCAAUUCUGCAACCCGAUCUGAUACAUUAACAAAUAGACCAAAUUAAAAACAGAAACAGAUCAUAUUAAAAAGAAUGAGAUAUUGUAAGGUAACAACUCAAGCUUUGGGCUUCACUGAAAAUCCCAAGAGCACAAUAGCAGCAUCAUAAAUAUCCUAACCCCUCAAACUACUGGGUUCUCCCUCUAGUUAAUAACACUAGCAACUGUUUAUAUUUGUUCUGAAUUUUAUACUCUGUGAGGUGUUUCAUCUCAUUUUAUCCUCACAGCAGUCCUGUGAGAUAGGUACAAGUAUUAGAUUCCUUUUGUAGGCAAGGAAACAGAUUUAGAGAGGUUAAACCAUGGCCCAUGGGUCACACAGCUUGUAAGUAAAUAGAACUGUUUGGGUUUCUAAUUUAUCAUAGUACCAAUUUGUUACAAUGGGAUAACAAUCAGAAACAUGGGUUCUAAUCCCCAGGUGGCUAGCUACGCAGCUGUGUGAUCUUGGACUAACCAUUCAACUUUCCAGGCUUCCUUUCCUCAUUUAUAAAAACUGUAUAAUGCCACCCCUAUCUGCCUCCCAGGGUGCUUAAGAGCACAAUACAGCGGGUAUUGUGGAACUGCUCUGUAACCCACGUGGUAAUCCACAGAUGUCAGAUAUUAGCAAUCUUUCUAACAAUAACCAGAGUAAUAAUUAUUAUAAUCUUUUUACUUUGGCAGUAACUUUCAUCACAACCGUUCAGUAACUUCUCAGCUUAUUAUCAUCUAUAAAGCACCCCUGUGGGUACCAUAUCUCAAGGUGAAUCAGCUACAGAUCAGUGAAGGAGGGGGCUCUUCUUCCUGGCAUAAUCUCAGAGCAGGGAUUCCCAGUGUUGUGUCCACUGGAAUUCAUUGAGGAGCUUUAGACAGACAGGUUUCCAAGCCCCACACUGACCAAUGACCACUUUAAUCUUGGGGCAGGGAAGGAACUGAGCAUCAAUUUUUUUUUUUAAGUCUACAAGUCUAUUCUAAUAUGCAGAUAAGAUUGGAAACUACUGCUACUGAGACUAUUUAUCAUCUUCAUGGCUACUGAAAGGGAUCUCAGUUUUAAAAGGACACAGCUUCUGGUUCUGUAAAUACCCAUCCCUUUGUUACAAAGAUGGAAGUAUGUAAGUCAAGAAGAACUGAGGUUUCUUGGGAAAGAAAUCCAGGAGCUGAACACUGAGCUCAGACCAUAAGCAUCCUAAAGAACCACCAACACAUAUACAGCAAGCCUACUGUGUUAGUCAGCUUUCCAUGGCUGUGACAAAAUAUCUGAUAUAAUCAAAUUAAAAGGAGGAAAGGUUAUUUGGGGCUAUGGUUUCAGGAUUCAGUUCAUGGUUGCUAUGCCCUAUUGCCUUGGGCCUGUGGCGGCACAAUACAUUAUUAUGGGAGCACAUGACAAAGGAGGCCUGUUCACCUCACCAGGGAAGCAAAGAGAGAAAGAGGAAAGGGCUGGGAUCCCAAUAUCCCCUUUAAGGGCGCUCCCCUGUGACCUGACAUACUUCCACUAGAGCCUGCCUCCCAAAGUUCUACCACUUCCUAAUAGUGCCACAGGCUGGUCACGAAGUUGUUAAUACACAGGCCUUUAGGGGACAUUUCAAGAUCCAUUUCUAAACUGCCACUGUUGGAGGGAAGCAAGGGUGGAUAAGGCAGUAAACACAGCAGAGCAUCCUGAUCAGAGAGUCUCUUCCCCAUUGCUGUUCCUCCACCAAAAUCUGCUUCUCGAAAGCAUUCCACCAUACCUUCCCUAUGCCAGAGUGAAUAGAAAAUUGUAUACUUAAAAAAAAAAAAGAUCUUGAAGGAUAAUACAUAACCAACUAGUGGCCAAUUCUACAAUUCUUCCCUACUGAUAAUAAGGAAAUAAUCACACAACAUUUAAUAUUAAUUCCUUCCUUUGAAUUCCAAUGUAUUUUGUAAAUUGUACAUGUAUAAUGUUUCAUUUUCGGGUUAACACAAAUAAGCAUAAAUUUACCUUAUAAAUAAAAGUGUGAUUUUUUUUAAUCCACACAAAAGUAGUUUCUAGUAAAAAGAUUGGUUCAGCUAUUUAUCUUAAAUUUCCUAAAGAAGCCAUUAUCAGAAGAAAAAAACCCAGUAAAAUUCAAAAUAUUGCUAUCUAAUAUUAGAGUUUGAUUUUGUGUCUCCACCAGAGAUGAAGUAGCAUUUCCACAUCUAUUAACCUUUUAAUUUGCUUCUCAUCCCCGAAAUGAAGAAACAAAAUAAUAAAAGGAUUUGACUUUGGGGGAAGUUCCCUUUGGAACUGGGAAUCACCCAAAUGAGAUAGUUUAGAAGUGCUCUUGGGAUGAGUUUCACUGUCUCAUUUGAUCACUUCUUUCACAAGACUGCAAAUAAUUUGGAUUGGGGUAAACUCCUAUUAUAAGACCUAGAGGUCCUAGAGGUUUAAAUUAUAAAGAGGGUUGUCUCUCAUUUGAGAUUUUAUAGUGCAAAGCAAUAGCUUGGAGACAAAUCCCUACACCUCUGGGAUCCCACAAAAGUGGUAAUUAGGCAACAUUUCACUGUGAUGCAGUGAUUGGGCAAAAGAUGGGACUGGACUACUCUCAGAGGUGUAGGACAAAAUUGACUUCCUUCAGAGCUGACAGAAGAAUCUGGAAACCUAAAAAUAUUUAAAGAAACUAAAGCCCCGUAGAGAGAAUUUCCAGCUAUUGAAGUGAAAGAGAUGAAACAUUUUCUAGAUUUGAAAAGAGAUUUUCUUUUUUUUAGUUGUAGAUGUACACAAUACCUUUAUCUCUUUAUUUUUAUGUGGUACCAGGGAUUGAGCCCAGUGCCUCGUGCAUACUAGGCAAGUGCUCUAUCACUGAGCCACAACCCUGGCCCAGAGAUUUUUUUCUUAAUGAAAAACUCAACAAAGUUCACCAGAGUUUGGGUAGAACAUUUAAAAAAAAAUAACAAUAACAAGAUCAGAUGUAUCAUUUACAGAGUAAUCUAAUUGAAGACUUUUAUCUUUUUCUUUAUAAUGUCUUAAGAAGAAGAAUCUAAAAAUAGACCCUAUAGAUAAUGAACUCUUCUUUUUCCUGAGUUUGUUAGAACGCAACACCUUCAUGACCCAGAGGACGCAUUCCAUCUCACCACCUCUGAGACAUAAAUCCUGACAAGGUCUUAUAGUUUCUCCUCUGGCCUCUAAUUACAAUUCUGUAAUUUAUUCCUUAACAGGGCCUACAUUUCAUGUCCUUAUAUGAAUGAGAUGCAGUGUGUUCUGUGGUUAAGCCCUUGGACACCAGGCCCAGCUGCCUGACCUUGGCAAUGACUUCACCUCUUUGUGCCUUGGUUUCCUUGGCUGUAGGAUGGGAGAAACCAAAGUACCAGCACCUUUGGGUUGUCAGGAGAAUUAGGCAGUUAUUAUCCAGAAAAGAAGUAGGGAAAGUACGCAAGCACAGUAAGAAGUCUAUAAAUGUUUGCUAUUAUUGCCACCACAUUUCGUGAUUCUUUAGCACCUAUAAAAAUAGCUAGCAUAUUUUAAAGUUAUAAAACAAGACACAUGGUCUAAUAAAAGAUUAUUUUCAGAUUCAUGGAUUUAUUUAUGUGCAAAGUCUCAACAAGAUAUUUAGUUACACGUAUAAGGUAUCAUUUUUUAAUUAUAUACCACCCUAAAAUCUAAAAAUUAUUCCACAGCAUGGUCCCUGACCUCAAGCAGUUUGUAUUCCACUUGAGAAACAGAGCAUAUGCCCAUGAAAUGUUAAACAAAAAUCCAAAACACUUCAUGAUUACAUAUAAAGUGAGUAGUUCAGACCAUAAGAGCUACAAAAAUGCAGAGGAGAAGGAACUCUGAGGGAAUCCGGCUUCAUUGUGUACCUAAAGGUGAUGAAGAAGUGCAUUUGGACAAUGAAAUAUAGGCAGGGAAAAGAAGGAGAUUUUGCAGCAGGGAGGGAGAUGUGAAGGGGACGGCAAAGAAUGGAAUCAUUCAUCUGGAAUGUGUAGUUUUCUGUUUAAAAUUGGGUGAAAUCCUUUGGUGAAGGAAUUCCAGGCAUAGGCCACAUAGCUGAGAGCUUCCAAUGCCAGACUGAAAUAGUUGUGACUUCGCCCUGGGAGUCCUCAGUUUUGCCUUCUGGAGUCUCAGCCAUUACAUCUGCCAUUGCAUGGGUUUGUCCUAAAGUUCAUCUCUCCACUGCACUAGUGCCUUGAUUACCUUAGUUCUCUCAGCAGCUGAUCUUCUGCUCUUGCCCAAUAAUAAAGUAUUGUUUAAUGAA